GUCGAGCGGUAACAGGUGUAGCAAUACAUGCUGACGAGCGGCGAACGGGUGAGUAAUGCUUUGGAAUCUUCCCAGUAGUGGGGAAUAACCAGUCGAAAGAUUGGCUAAUACCGCAUACGUCUGUAAAGGGAAAGCGGGGGCUCGUAAGACCUCGCGCUAUUGGAUGAGCCAAAGUCGGAUUAGCUAGUUGGUGGGGUAAUGGCCUACCAAGGCGACAAUCCGUAGCUGGUCUGAGAGGACGACCAGCCACACCGGAACUGAGACACGGUCCGGACUCCUACGGGAGGCAGCAGUGGGGAAUAUUGGACAAUGGGGGAAACCCUGAU
RNAcentral lists this ribosomal RNA (326 nucleotides) under uncultured soil bacterium. RNAcentral describes it as "bacterial SSU rRNA". It matches the Rfam family "Bacterial small subunit ribosomal RNA", at positions 61 to 387 of the family's 1533-position model. The record is from RNAcentral.